GCGGAGGAAAAGAAACUCAACAAGGAUUCCCCUAGUAACGGCGAGUGAAGUGGGAAAAGCUCAACUUUGAAAUCUGGCACCUUCGGUGUCCGAAUUGUAGUCUCUAGAAGUGUUUUCCGUGCUGGCCCAUGUGUGAGUCUGUUGGAACACAGCGUCAUAGAGGGUGACAACCCCGUUCAUAACAUGGACCCCAGUGCUUUGUGAUACACUCUCGACGAGUCGAGUUGUUUGGGAAUGCAGCUCAAAUUGGGUGGUAAAUUCCAUCUAAAGCUAAAUAUUGGCGAGAGACCGAUAGCAAACAAGUACCGUGAGGGAAAGAUGAAAAGCACUUUGGAAAGAGAGUUAACAGUACGUGAAAUUGCUAAAAGGGAAACGAUUGAAGUCAGACGUGCGUGGUGCGGUUCAGCUCUGGUUCGCCAGAGUGUAUUCCGUGCCUUUGCAGGCCAACAUCGGUUUCACGAGGCGGAUAAAGGUUUGAGAAAUGUGGCACCUUCGGGUGUGUUAUAGUCUCUUGCUGAAUACGCCUCGAGGGACCGAGGAACGCAGCGCGCCGCAAGGCAAAGCCUCUGGGCUUUUCGCGCUUAGGAUGUGGGUGAAAUGGCUUU
RNAcentral lists this ribosomal RNA (605 nucleotides) under Cystastrum externum. Its description in RNAcentral is "LSU rRNA". It matches the Rfam family "Eukaryotic large subunit ribosomal RNA", at positions 50 to 641 of the family's 3401-position model. The record is from RNAcentral. Lineage: Eukaryota; Fungi; Basidiomycota; Cystobasidiomycetes; Cystobasidiales; Cystobasidiaceae.